RNAcentral lists this ribosomal RNA (589 nucleotides) under uncultured bacterium. RNAcentral describes it as "bacterial SSU rRNA". It matches the Rfam family "Bacterial small subunit ribosomal RNA", at positions 338 to 945 of the family's 1533-position model. The record is from RNAcentral.
CCUACGGGAGGCAGCAGUGGGGAAUAUUGGACAAUGGGCGAAAGCCUGAUCCAGCAAUGCCGCGUGAGUGAUGAAGGCCUUAGGGUUGUAAAGCUCUUUUACCCGGGAAGAUAAUGACUGUACCGGGAGAAUAAGCCCCGGCUAACUCCGUGCCAGCAGCCGCGGUAAUACGGAGGGGGCUAGCGUUAUUCGGAAUUACUGGGCGUAAAGCGCACGUAGGCGGCUAUUCAAGUCAGAGGUGAAAGCCCGGAGCUCAACUCCGGAACUGCCUUUGAAACUAGAUAGCUAGAAUCACGGAGAGGUAAGUGGAAUUCCGAGUGUAGAGGUGAAAUUCGUAGAUAUUCGGAAGAACACCAGUGGCGAAGGCGGCUUACUGGACGUGUAUUGACGCUGAGGUGCGAAAGCGUGGGAGCAAACAGGAUUAGAUACCCUGGUAGUCCACGCCGUAAACGAUGAUAACUAGUUGUCGGGGCUCUUAGAGCUUCGGUGACGCAGCUAACGCAUUAAGUUAUCCGCCUGGGAGUACGGUCGCAAGNUUAAAACUCAAAUGAAUUGACCGGNUGAGAGNGCGAGACGACGACGAGGAGAG